UGGGGAAUAUUGCACAAUGGGGGAAACCCGUGAUGCAGCGACGCCGCGUGGAGGAAGAAGGUCUUCGGAUUGUAAACUCCUGUUGUUGGGGAAGAUAAUGACGGUACCCAACAAGGAAGUGACGGCUAACUACGUGCCAGCAGCCGCGGUAAAACGUAGGUCACAAGCGUUGUCCGGAAUUACUGGGUGUAAAGGGAGCGCAGGCGGGAAAUCAAGUUGGAUGUGAAAUGUCGGGGCUUAACCCCGGAACUGCAUCCAAAAACUGAUAUUCUUGAGUGAAGUAGAGGUAGGCGGAAUUCCGAGUGUAGCGGUGAAAUGCGCAGAUAUUCGGAGGAACACCAGUGGCGAAGGCGGCCUACUGGGCUUUAACUGACGCUGAGG
This 381-nucleotide ribosomal RNA is filed under the name uncultured Faecalibacterium sp. RNAcentral describes it as "bacterial SSU rRNA". It matches the Rfam family "Bacterial small subunit ribosomal RNA", at positions 355 to 751 of the family's 1533-position model. The record is from RNAcentral. Lineage: Bacteria; Bacillati; Bacillota; Clostridia; Eubacteriales; Oscillospiraceae.